UGUUAAGCUUCCAUAGUGCGGGUUUUGUGU
This 30-nucleotide non-coding RNA is filed under the name Rattus norvegicus (Norway rat). The record is from RNAcentral. Lineage: Eukaryota; Metazoa; Chordata; Mammalia; Rodentia; Muridae.